AGGCCUCAGGUCCCACAGGUCAGUUGCAAGGGCCUAGCACAGCUAGCCCCCUGAGAGGCCUCCCUACUUAGUGGUCAGGUGUUAGGAAGGUUUGGUGGGGCCACUUGAGGUGCCCUGGGGUUGGGGUGAAACCCCUCUGCAGCCUAGUCAGCCCAAGGGCAUUGUGAAAGUGACAGCUGCCAGAGGUCUGGGUUCCAGCCCCUGGCUGACAUUAAACUUUUCUGAAUUUCGGUUUUUCCCUGUAAAUUGGGGAAAAUUACUUGCCCCAGCUUCAACACUGCCUCCCCUCCACCCUUUUGCUGCUGCCUUAUCAGGCCCCAGCUGUAGGCAGGUCAGCCCACGCCCGGCGGCAGAGCCCAGAGAGGCUCGCUCAUCUCAGCCGCCAGAAGUGUCAUCCCAGGGAAGCCUCCAGGACCACUGGCUGCCCAUGAGAGACGAAGGAUGGCAUCCAAGGGGGCCGGCGUGUCUUUCUCCCGCAAGAGCUGUAGGCUGACCUCAGAUGCUGAGAAAUCCAGGGUCACAGGGACCCGCUGCAGCUGGGAGGGGAGCUGUCCAGGAGGCCGGCCUGGGAAUGAGCACAGGCCUGCGGCUGGCAGAGAGCCGGGUCGAGCCAGCCCUGGAGAAGCAGGCCCAGCUGGAGGAGCAGCUGCGGGACAAGGUGCUCCACGAGAAGGACCUGUCCCAGCAGCAGAUGCAAAGCGACCUGGACAAGGCUGACCUCAGUGCCAGGAGGGUCCCUGGUGGGUGCUGCAUGAGGCAGGCGUCACUGCAGAAGAGUGACAGAGCUGGGCCUGGCAGUGAAGCGUCUACAGAAGCAGAAUCUGGAGAAGGAUCAGGUCGACAAGGACCUCACCGAGAAGCUUGAGGC
This is a non-coding RNA of Homo sapiens (human), 868 nucleotides long. The record is from RefSeq and is a predicted model, not a curated record. NCBI's taxonomy places the organism in Eukaryota, Metazoa, Chordata, Mammalia, Primates, Hominidae.